UGCGUAGGCGGUCUUUCAAGUCAGGAGUUAAAGGCUACGGCUCAACCGUAGUAAGCUCCUGAUACUGUCUGACUUGAGUGCAGGAGAGGAAAGCGGAAUUCCCAGUGUAGCGGUGAAAUGCGUAGAUAUUGGGAGGAACACCAGUAGCGAAGGCGGCUUUCUGGACUGUAACUGACGCUGAGGCACGAAAGCGUGGGGAGCAAACA
This 206-nucleotide ribosomal RNA is filed under the name uncultured bacterium. RNAcentral's name for it is "partial 16S ribosomal RNA". It matches the Rfam family "Bacterial small subunit ribosomal RNA", at positions 568 to 774 of the family's 1533-position model. The record is from RNAcentral.